CACGUAGGGGGCGAGCGUUGUCCGGAUUUAUUGGGCGUAAAGAGCUCGUAGGCGGCUUUGUCAGUCGGGUGUGAAACCUCCAGGCUCAACCUGGAGCCGCCACCCGAUACUGCAAUAGCUAGAGUCCGGUAGGGGAGCAUGGAACUCCUGGUGUAGCGGUGAAAUGCGCAGAUAUCAGGAAGAACACCAGUGGCGAAGGCGGUGCUCUGGGCCGGAACUGACGCUGAGGCGCGAAAGCCAGGGGAGCGAACGGG
Molecule: ribosomal RNA, 254 nt
Filed under: uncultured bacterium
Lineage: Bacteria
Description: partial 16S ribosomal RNA
Rfam family: Bacterial small subunit ribosomal RNA
Source: RNAcentral